Molecule: unclassified non-coding RNA, 194 nt
Filed under: soil metagenome
Description: partial contains small subunit ribosomal RNA, internal transcribed spacer 1, and 5.8S ribosomal RNA
Source: RNAcentral
UUUCCGUAGGUGAACCUGCGGAAGGAUCAUUAAUGAAAAUGUGUUGCCGGGCCCAUAAUCCCGGCACUAACCUUCUUAUCCAUAACACCUGUGCACUGUUGGAUGCUUGCAUCCACUUUUAUACUAAACAAUUUGUAACAAAUGUAGUCUUAUUAUAAUUAAUAAAACUUUUAACAACGGAUCUCUUGGCUCUC